Molecule: ribosomal RNA, 303 nt
Filed under: Falconina gracilis
Lineage: Eukaryota; Metazoa; Arthropoda; Arachnida; Araneae; Corinnidae
Description: partial 12S ribosomal RNA
Source: RNAcentral
AGGUAGUUUCAAACCCAUUUAUACUGGCGGCUUUUCAUUUUAUUAGAGGAACUUGUCCACUAAUCGAUAACCCCCGAUAAAUUUCACUUUAAAUUAAAAUUUAUAUACCGCCAUCUAAAGAAUUAAUUCCCAUAUUUUUUCUAAAUAAAACCUAAAAAGAUAGGUCAAGGUGUAAUCAAUUUUAAAGAAAAGAUGAGUUACUUUAAGAAAAACUUAAGGACAUUUUAAUACCAAUUAUAAUUAAAAUAGGAUUUAUAAGUAUUAUUUAAAUAAUAUUUCUAUAUGAAUAAAAUUUCAAAGUGC